UACAUGCAGUCGAGCGAUGAAGCUUCUAGCUUGCUAGAAGUGGAUUAGUGGCGCACGGGUGAGUAAGGUAUAGUUAAUCUGCCCUACACAAGAGGACAACAGUUGGAAACGACUGCUAAUACUCUAUACUCCUGCUUAACACAAGUUGAGUAGGGAAAGUUUUUCGGUGUAGGAUGAGACUAUAUAGUAUCAGCUAGUUGGUAAGGUAAUGGCUUACCAAGGCUAUGACGCUUAACUGGUCUGAGAGGAUGAUCAGUCACACUGGAACUGAGACACGGUCCAGACUCCUACGGGAGGCAGCAGUAGGGAAUAUUGCGCAAUGGGGGAAACCCUGACGCAGCAACGCCGCGUGGAGGAUGACACUUUUCGGAGCGUAAACUCCUUUUCUUAGGGAAGAAUUCUGACGGUACCUAAGGAAUAAGCACCGGCUAACUCCGUGCCAGCAGCCGCGGUAAUACGGAGGGUGCAAGCGUUACUCGGAAUCACUGGGCGUAAAGGGCGCGUAGGCGGAUUAUCAAGUCUCUUGUGAAAUCUAAUGGCUUAACCAUUAAACUGCUUGGGAAACUGAUAGUCUAGAGUGAGGGAGAGGCAGAUGGAAUUGGUGGUGUAGGGGUAAAA
This 618-nucleotide ribosomal RNA is filed under the name Campylobacter sp. S1W 6. RNAcentral describes it as "bacterial SSU rRNA". It matches the Rfam family "Bacterial small subunit ribosomal RNA", at positions 52 to 686 of the family's 1533-position model. The record is from RNAcentral. Lineage: Bacteria; Pseudomonadati; Campylobacterota; Epsilonproteobacteria; Campylobacterales; Campylobacteraceae.